Molecule: long non-coding RNA, 5626 nt
Filed under: Mytilus galloprovincialis (Mediterranean mussel)
Lineage: Eukaryota; Metazoa; Mollusca; Bivalvia; Mytilida; Mytilidae
Source: RNAcentral
CCUCUUUUAUUAAUUUAUAUGCAGUUUUAAAAAAGUAACAGCAGUUUAAAGGUUGGAGAUUGGAAGUAAAAAAAAUCUUUGCAUUCUGCUACCUUAAAAAGCGAUUUUCCUGCUAUAAUAAAACAUGUGUCAGAGUAAGAUUGCAAUAUAAUACAGGAUUUUUUAUUGGGCAUCCUGAUAUCACUUUCCUGUAUAUAUUAUGGUCUAAAUUUAGUAACUUCGAACUUUAUCUUUGCUGCAGCUACCACAAAAGGUUGUACAGCAUGCAUCAUGGAGACCAGUUUUAUUGAUGGUGCCCAGAAAGAAACCCCAACAUUUAGUCUACAAAAACUGUGACUCCUAGUCAUUUAGAAACAGAGUUGAGGGUGUUCAACCUUGUAUCCAUUGGGCCUUUGAAUUCUAAUUGAUAUGCAAAUGUUAAAAACAUUUUCCUAUUUAUAUAUUACUAACACAAUAUUGUAUACAUAUUUUUAUUUAUAAAUAUACAAAAUAUUUUGUCCAAAAGUGUUUCCAAGAGAAUGUGAUCUGUAUCUUAAGUUCUUAACAAAUUUAGAGAAUUUCAAUGUUAUAUAUUAAGUAUGAAGAAUAUUCAACAUUACUUGAAAAUAUUCAGAAAUCAUUAAAAAUUAAAAUACAAUUCAAAAUACCUGCUGAAAGGUAAGAUUACAGAUAACUAAAAUUUGACUCUGCUUUUCCUUUCUUUAGAUCAUAAUAUAAUCAUUAACCUAUAUAUCCCUCAAAACCAUGCGGUUGCAUAUGAUGGGUUUUUAUUUAUUAUCUCCCUCACUUAAACUCUUAGUGAGCAGGAAUAUCUGCAUGUACAACUGAACAUUUUAGAGAAUAUACAUUCUAACUAAAUAACUUUCUGACCAUUUAUCAGUAUUUGGUGAAAAACUAUUUCAUGUAUUUAACACAAUUUGAUGUAAGUAAAAAUAUACAAUGAAGAACUAUAAUGAAGUUGUUUACUUGGUUUUGUGACAAAAACAAUUAUGAUUACAAUUCAACUUUUCCCUUUUUCUUGCAGUAGAGAAAACUGAUGGCAAAAUGUUUCCAGAAAAGCACUUUGGAUGAAAUAAAUUCAUAGUGUUGUUUUCAUUUUUUUGCAUGCAAAAAACAUCUUUUUGAUUUACAAUGGAACUUCGUUAGUGAGUACGCUUCAUUAGAUAGUUCAAUGAACCAUGAUCCCAAUUUCAAUAUAGACUUGUAAGAGAGAUAGCUCAGAUAUCCUUCUUUACCUGUUUGAUAAUUUGAUUGGCUAGUUAUAACUACAUGUAUUGUUUUUCUCUCUGAUAAGUUUAGAGAAGUGACAUGAUACUUAAUAUAAUUACUUAUUUGACUUAUCAGACAUCCAUAUUUGCAGAUGCAAGAGGAAUAAAACAGAUUUACAGUUUAGUUAUUUUUAGCUUAAGAUUUUCCUAGUAAAGUGGAGAUAACUCAGUGCAAAACAUUUUCCAUUACCUAUAAGAAAAAAACAUACAAGCAACAAAACAUAUACUUUUAAGGAUCUGGUGUCAGUUUCACAAAAAAACUUACGAAUAAGAUUAACCAUAAGUAUACUGAAUUGUCCAUGACUAAAGAUCAGCCUUAACUGUAAGUUUUUAGGUGAAACCAACUCCUGGUGUAUUUUGCAAGUACAUGUUUAUAAUGCAUUUGCUACUUUACAUGUUAAUAACUUUUUAGUUGACUUUUGGUUUUGUAAAUGGGAGAUAAUCCAACUUAAACUUUUUGAACAAAUUACAAAUUACAUAUAUACCUCCUUACUUUGAUAUUUUCCCUAAGUAACCAAACAAAAAAGGAGUUCAAGUGAAAUUACAAGAUUUACAUCUAAAUAAAACAUAGUACUAGAACAACAAUGUCUUACCCUAGGGGAAAUAACUCAUAAAGAAAUUAUAGAAUCCAAAUCCAAGUCUGAUAUAUGAAAAUGAAAUACUAUGUUUAAGUUUAACUAAUUUAUAUAUAUGUCACUUCUCCUGUUGCUUCUUAUACAAAAUUAUAAAAAGUCAAAAUCAUUUCAUGGUCCACUGAACAAACAACCAAACUUUAUCCCUCUUCUUACACACUUAAGUAUGUUAUCUGAAUUGAAAUACAUUUUAUAAAAGUAUUUACAAUUAUAAAUGAAUAAUAAUAAGAAAAUAAUAAUACAAAAAUCAUUGAUAACUAUUCAAUUUUAAUAUAAUGUUAGAAACAAUAUUUUGAUUGAGCCAUUUCAUCAUUUCUGGCUUAUCAAACAUAUUGGUUGGUAUAAAUGUUGAUACGACUAUUCACGGGGGGUCUCAACAUGGGAUUUUGGGUACAGGUGUGCAGCUGGGAUUUUAAAAACACCCCCCAUUCAUAUAUUGAAUAAUUGUGAAAUCCUAAACCUUUAUACAUAUAUUUCACAGCAGCGAAAUCAUAACCCAUGAUCAUAUUUUUGGAAAUUCAGUUGAAGAUCGUUGCAAACAAACUGAUUUUGACCCAUUGAAAUAUUUACGGUAUUUAACCAGGUCUCAUUAAAAAUAUCAUGCAUCGGUAAAUUGUUGAACAGGGUCCCAGAUAAACUUGCAACUGGAUGAAAAAGUUGACGUAAUUUUAGAACCCAUUCCGGAAUGGCACAUAAUAGCGAUAUACCUUAUAAUAGGAAGAGACCCCCCCCCCGUGCGACUAUUACUCUCUCAGUUGAUUUAAUGGUCUAUCGUUUUCUCUUUUCAGGCUCUAUUAUUUACAGAGAUGUUAAUCCUAACAUGUCUUUAAACUUAUUAGCAGUAACAAUGUGAGAACAAUAAAAUAUACAACCUUAAACUAUGAAUAUGAUAAAAAGGCAAGAUAAAAAAGUGACUAUUAGUAUGCAAGGUAUAGCAUUGUCUUUAUCUAUUAUGAAAGAUUAAAAUUAAUUAAUGUUUUCUUAAUAUACAAAAAUACUUUCCUGCAGAAUACCUUGAGAUCGUAGGUAGAAAAUUUUAAUAGCUCAAAGCCUCAAACCUUUAUCAAUGGUUGGAUAAUUCAUUGUUUAUUUGGUUUUUAUUUAUUUCAUUACAUCCCCAUUCAGUAUGCAAUACAGUGAACAAUAAAACUGAAUCACUUUCUAUAUACAUUUUAAGUCAAGUGCUAGUAUAUACUCUAGACAUGUAUCAUCUGCACCUGGUCUAGGAGUAAACUGUAAACAGUAUGGAGAUGUGUUUUUUUUGCCAAAAGACCAAUGAAAAGUAUACAAAAAAAAUGGAGGUCACUGUACAAUUUAAAGUUAAGAAAUUAAUAUUAAAAUUUCAUAUAGUACAUAACUGCACAAACACACUGGUUUUUUGGCUAAACAGAAUCUUCAACAUAAGCUAACCAAUACUGAUAAGUAACCAAUAAAGGCCCUCUAUAUCAAAACAUGAAACAAUACAAUCAAUAAAACUAAUGGCACAAAUAGGCUAACAAUAUUAUAUGUAUAUGAAAAAUAUUAUGACAAGACAUCAACUAACAACAACCACUUAGACUAUAGUCAUUCUCAAUUCUGCCUUCACAAUGUAUCAGGGUUUAUCAUUUGUGAGCAGUCAAAACACCCUCUAACCUUGGUGUAACAGCAAUAACAUAGCACAAACUAUUGUAACAUACUUUCCUCAUUUCUCAAAAAUAUAUCAACAGGAAAGAUAAAUAUAUAAAAUGUAUAAUAGAUAAAUAAUUAUUACAUAAAUGUUAUUCAAGCACAACAAAAAAUUCAUCACAAAAGUUUAUAAAUUCAUAAAUUUGUCUUUUUGAUAAUUGCACAAACAUACAAUUUUUGUCAAUAAAAAGAUAUAUACAAUUUAUAUAAAGUGACAUUUAUAAAUUUGUAUUGCUUACUUAAAUUGUAUACUAAAACAGGUACGUUAAUGGGCAAUAUCGCUAGAGGAUGUGUAACUGCAUAUUGAUAUCAAAGAAAAUAUUCAAGUAUUUUUUUAUAUUUUUGAAGAUAUUUUCUAAUUUCUUUAAAUAGUAGUACAAACGCAUAAGAUGCAUUUAAAUAUCACCCAAACAAAUAUUUUUACUAUAAAUUGAGUGAAUUGUUUACAAUAAUUACUUAUUUUCUUUACAUUUGUGCUUUUAAUCUUUAAAAUUUGCCAUAUUUCAUAAAAGUGACAUAUAUAUAAAAAAAAAAUGAUAAACAUGUAGUUAGUUCCUCAUGCUCUGGUUACAAGCAAAAUUUCAUUAUAGUCCAUGAGAUCACAAAUUAAGUACCUAUAACCUGAAAUCAGACCUUAUUACAGUUCAUUAAUACCUUGUUUAGCCUUUAUUUUCAUAAAUCAAGAUAGGUUCUUCCAAGACUACAUCAAUUAUAAGAUUUUAUGAAAAGCAUGUCCUUUUUACCAAUUUUAACAUUAUAUACUUAAGGAAAUACUGGCAACACACUUUCUGACCAAAAUAAACGUGAGAUCAAAAGUUUUAUAAAAGUAACAUACAUACGAUAUUGGUCAGAGCAUGUAGCCAAUGUUUCCAAAAUCAACAAAUCAACAAAAGUUGGUCAGAAAUUACAUUUUUAUCUAGUGAUAGUACACAAUUUAUGACAUUAUACAUCAUAUUAAGUCAAAAACAUUUUUUUAAAAGUGUUAUUGUACAUCAUCAGUAAGAUGACUUCAAUUUUGUUAAUGCAAAAAUAAUGCUGUUAUUGCCGUUUUUUAUUCUUUUUCAGGGCCAUAUAGCAAUCCUAUGUGAACUUUAUAAUAUUCAUUACGUUCUUCUGUCAUAAAAAAAGGUCUUCCAAAUCGGACAUCCACCUGUACAGAUGCGUGUUUUGCUCAACUGGUCAAAUUAAAACAGAAAGUUUCAGUUCAAAAACAAGGCAUCAUUAAUGGCAUUAUUUCCUUUAAAUGCUUUAAAGAGUCAAUACAAAUACACUUGCUAACAAAUCACUUUGCAAAAUAUAUAUAUUUCUUUUUUCAAAAAAUAAAUAUUUACAGUAACCAUUUGUAAGCCGAAGACAUAUAACACAUAAAAAUUAUAUUAAUGAUAAAAAUGCAUGCAAAUUAUGUAAUGUUUUGAUUUUAUUAUAUACAGAAUGGUGCUAUGGUUUUUGGAAUGCUAAUGUCAUGUUUGAGCAAAUUUAUUUCAUAAUAACUUAUAUUUAAAUGUUUUGUAUGAAUGUUUGAUUUGUAAUGCAUUUCAGAUAUUAUUUGUUAGGCUUGAAAAUAUUUACAACAUACUGUAGCUAAUUUAACUUUAUGCCAAUAUCAAAAGUUGCUUAAUUAAUUAAUUCUUUACGAAAUAAACAGGUCAAACCCUAAAUAAUUCCUGCAAAGAAGUGAAGUAGAGUUCUUUAAAUUUUGGUUAAAAUCUGUAGAGGACUAUAUUGAUAUAUUGGAGUGUUUAUUUUCCUUCUUUAAUUAGUGAUUCACAAAAAUUUCACAUAUUAACUUUAAAGCCUCUCAAAAAUUAUAUUCAAGUAUUCAGAAAGAUUAUCUAGAGUUAUAAAAUCGCUGAUGUCUAUUUUAAAAUUCAGAAAUAACACUUAAUGAAAAUUAAUGGUUAUUGCAAACAGAAUAAUGUAACAAGAAUAACUAUCACAGACUAUCAUCUAACUUUUAUACUGUACAAAACACUAACAAAACAGGAAACAAAUAACUGUACAAAAUCAGCAAACAAAAAACUGUACAAAAUCAGCAAACAAAUAACUGUACAAAAAUUAAGU